Long non-coding RNA from Homarus americanus (American lobster), 2089 nucleotides. RefSeq lists it as uncharacterized. The transcript has 3 exons. The record is from RefSeq and is a predicted model, not a curated record. NCBI's taxonomy places the organism in Eukaryota, Metazoa, Arthropoda, Malacostraca, Decapoda, Nephropidae.
AUUUUUUCUUCUCUUUUUCAGGACUAUCAUUGGUGGUGGCGUAGUUUCUUAACAUCAGGAUUCACUUCAUUUUACUUAUUCCUUUACUGUGUUCAUUACUUCGUUACCAAGCUGAGCAUAGAGGGUGUGGUAUCCACCAUGCUCUACUUUGGGUAUACAGCAAUCAUGGUCUUCCUUUUCUUCUUGCUCACAGGAACCAUUGGCUUCGUCGCCUGUUUCUGGUUUGUACGAAAGAUCUACAGUGUAGUGAAAGUGGAUUAGAUCUCAGAACCAAAAUGGUUGUUGUUGGAGUGUGUUGUCGUCAUUCGACUGACUCCGCCUUAGCAGUUCGAGGAGAGAGUGGGACUAAAGUAAUCUUUUUUGCAUAGUAGCAAAUUAAACCCCAUAGAAUAAGGGAAAGAUAAUUCAGGUAUCAAAUAUACCAUGGAUGAUCUGCAACUGUAUUAAGAAAAUCUUGGAUAAUUGUGGUUAUGGGCAUUAAUGAUUAAUUUACUUGCUAUUGUACUGACUUGGUAUGGAUUACAGCUAAAGCUAUAUUAGAAAAAGUCGGGAGUUGAUCUAACCUCUCUGAGUCAUUGGCUGUCUGUUUAACGAUGUAAGUGUGACUCAAGGGGACGUGAGGCACCAACUUUGAAUUUAUUGUGUUAGAUAUAAAUGUAAAGUCUUGUGUAAAACUUUUCUUUUACUUUUAGUAAAAUAAUUUUUAGAUGUUGCAUAAGCUUUUCUUAAUGCAGUGACCAAAUUGCUGGCAUUAUUGAUGAAUGGUACCCUUUUUAUUUUAUUUCUAUUAUCUUCCUUUUCUCUCACUUAUGUUUAGGGUAGAUCAAGGGUUACAGAAACCACAAAGAAAAAAUGGAACUGAUAGAGUACAUUGGUGCAAGACAAGUCUAUGAACUACGGGAACAGGCUGGGAUGGCAAGUCAUUAUUUCCACAUACAGUAUAUUAACUGUCCUCAUUUCACAGACUAUACAUAUUAAAGUUGCUCCCCUUUGAUUGAAUCUAUUAUUGUAUUCUUUUGCUGCAUGCUCCCUUAAAUUAUCAGAAACUGAACAUCUUAUACAUGCACACUAUUGUAUUAUAUUUAUGAGUUUGAAAAACUUAUAGUACACAAAGUUUUUAAGAUUUUAAUAGAUCAGCUACAUCGGAUAGUCAUGAAAGAAGAGAUCUCAUAGUUGGCAAAGAAAAUAUUUUGAAGUUCAUCAUAGAUAUCAAAUGUUUAGUAUCAGUAUUCCUUAAGAUAAGCCUGAGUGAUUAGCAUACUGUUUAGGCUAGUACCAUGAGUGCUUUAAAGAAAUUUCUGCAAAACAACAUUUUUUUUUUCUUUUGUUAUUUUCUGGCAAGGAAAUAGAUCCUCAUUACGAAAGAGGUUAAGUACAGAUGUCCAAGGCCUUGAGAAACUUUACCCACUUCUGAUUAUAUUAAAUGUAGUUUGCCAGUAUCCAGAACUGUACCUGAAUUUUUGGUUGAGGAAUGGAAUUAAACACCCAGUUGCCAAGACUACUCACACAAGAUGAGUAACUCCUCCAAUAGUCGGUUCAAUCUUAAGUAAACUGUUACCUUGAUGUUACAGUACAGUAAUUGUAAAGCAAGCAAGGCCUUUGUUACUUAAUCAGGCCUCCAUUUUAUCUUCACAGUAAGAUGUAACUGUUAUCAUUUGCAUAUUAUUGUGGCAUUGAAAGCCACUUUGCAGUUAUUCAGAUUUUUAUUUAUUUAUUUAUAUAUAUAUUUUUUUAGGGGGUGGGCUUCAUGUAAAUUACUCAUCUUAAUUAUCUAGUAGCUGUACAGUAUUUAGAUUAUUAAAACUGAUGAAAAUGAAGUUUGCUAGUUAUCCCUCCCUGAAUAUUUCUCUUAUAUUUUUACUGUACAAUAUUAUCCUUUUUAGCAUUUUUUAUAUUCAUUUCUUUAUGUGGAGAGGAGAGUUUGUUUCUGUAAAAUGAUACAAUUUAUCUCCUUUUGUUAUUAUUGUACCAUAUUCUGAAGUAAUGCUUAAAGCUAUAGGAAGAAUCUUCUGGAUCAAGGAUAUUUUGUUGUAGAGAUGGAGUCUUGUAUGAUGUAUCAAAUAUAGUUAAUUUAUUAUUCAAAUAACUA